Molecule: ribosomal RNA, 591 nt
Filed under: Bipolaris sp.
Lineage: Eukaryota; Fungi; Ascomycota; Dothideomycetes; Pleosporales; Pleosporaceae
Description: partial large subunit ribosomal RNA
Rfam family: Eukaryotic large subunit ribosomal RNA
Source: RNAcentral
GGAGGAAAAGAAACCAACAGGGAUUGCCCUAGUAACGGCGAGUGAAGCGGCAACAGCUCAAAUUUGAAAUCUGGCUCUUUCAGAGUCCGAGUUGUAAUUUGCAGAGGGCGCUUUGGCUUUGGCAGCGGUCCAAGUUCCUUGGAACAGGACGUCACAGAGGGUGAGAAUCCCGUACGUGGUCGCUAGCUAUUGCCGUGUAAAGCCCCUUCGACGAGUCGAGUUGUUUGGGAAUGCAGCUCUAAAUGGGAGGUAAAUUUCUUCUAAAGCUAAAUAUUGGCCAGAGACCGAUAGCGCACAAGUAGAGUGAUCGAAAGAUGAAAAGCACUUUGGAAAGAGAGUCAAACAGCACGUGAAAUUGUUGAAAGGGAAGCGCUUGCAGCCAGACUUGCUUGCAGUUGCUCAUCCGGGCUUUUGCCCGGUGCACUCUUCUGUAGGCAGGCCAGCAUCAGUUUGGGCGGUGGGAUAAAGGUCUCUGUCACGUACCUCUCUUCGGGGAGGCCUUAUAGGGGAGACGACAUACCACCAGCCUAGACUGAGGUCCGCGCAUCUGCUAGGAUGCUGGCGUAAUGGCUGUAAGCGGCCCGUCUUGAC